RNAcentral lists this ribosomal RNA (1153 nucleotides) under uncultured organism. RNAcentral's name for it is "bacterial SSU rRNA". It matches the Rfam family "Bacterial small subunit ribosomal RNA", at positions 210 to 1353 of the family's 1533-position model. The record is from RNAcentral.
UGAUGUCGCCUUUGGAUGGUUCCAACUCCUCUCAGCUUGUUGGUGAGGUAUUUGCUCACCAAGGCUUCGACGGGUCGGGGGACUGAGAGGUUGGCCCCCCACACCGGGACUGAGACACUGCCCGGACACCUACGGGUGGCUGCAGUCGAGAAUCUUCGGCAAUGCGCAACCGCGUGACCGAGCGACGCCGCGUGCGGGCUGAAGGGUUUCGGCUCGUACACCGCUGUUGGGGGGUCGCCCUCAUCACGGUAACCCCGUGUGAUGCGUCAAACCCCUGAGGAAGUCACAGCUAAUCACGUGCCAGCAGCUGCGGUAAUACGUGCGUGGCAAACGUUACUCGGAAUCACUGGGCUUACAGGGGGCGCAGGCGGGCAGGACCGUGGCGAUUGCAAUCCCACGGCUCAACCGUGGCAUUGGUUUCCAAACUAUCUGUCUUGCGGACAGCAGGGGGGUGUCGAACUUCUGGUGGAGCGGUGCACUGCGUAGCUCUCCGACGGCAUACCGGUGGCGAAAGCGAUGCCCUGGGCUGUUCCUGACGCUGAGGCCCGAAAGCAUGGGGAGCCACCAGGCUUCGCAUACCUGGUAGUCCAUGCUGUCACUGCUGGGUACUAGCAGGAGUGGUUCCUUCGGACUCUCUUGCCUCGCGAACUCGUUACGUACCCCGACUGGGGACAUCCGGCGCAAGAUUAAAACUCAAAGGAAUUGACGGGGGCUCACACAAGCGGUGGAGCAUGUGGUUUAAUUCGAAGCAACGCGAAGAACCUUACCCGGCCUUGACAUCGCCGAAUGCUGCUUCUGAAAGGGAGUAUGCUGCCUUUGGUGAAACGGUGACAGGUGUUGCAUGGCUGUCGUCAGCUCGUGUCGUGAGAUGUCGGGUUAAGUCCCUUAACGAGCGAAACCCCUGCCGUUAGUUGCUAACGGGCCUUCGGGCGCCGAGUACUCUAGCGGGACUGCCUCGUAAGACGGAGGACGCUGGGCACGACGUCAAGUCAUCAUGGCCCUUAUGGCCGGGGCUACACACGUGCUACAAUGGACGGUACAAAGCGAAGCGAACCCGCGAGGGGGUGCAAAUCGCAAAAAGCCGUCCUCAGUUCAGAUUGCAGGCUGCAAUUCGCCUGCAUGAAGGCGGAAUCGCUAGUAAUCGCGGAUCAGC